Molecule: ribosomal RNA, 253 nt
Filed under: uncultured bacterium
Lineage: Bacteria
Description: partial 16S ribosomal RNA
Rfam family: Bacterial small subunit ribosomal RNA
Source: RNAcentral
UACGUAGGUGGCGAGCGUUGUCCGGAUUUACUGGGCGUAAAGGGAGCGUAGGCGGACUUUUGAGUGAGAUGUGAAAUACUCGGGCUCAACUUGAGUGCUGCAUUUCAAACUGGAAGUCUAGAGUGCAGGAGAGGAGAAUGGAAUUCCUAGUGUAGCGGUGAAAUGCGUAGAGAUUAGGAAGAACACCAGUGGCGAAGGCGAUUCUCCGGACUGUAACUGACGCUGAGGCUCGAAAACGUGGGGAGCAAACAGG